AACGAACGCUGGCGGCAGGCCUAACACAUGCAAGUCGAGCGAGGACUUCGGUCCUAGCGGCGGACGGGUGAGUAACGCGUGGGAACGUGCCCUUUGCUUCGGAAUAGCCCUGGGAAACUGGGAGUAAUACCGGAUGAGCCCUUUGGGGGAAAGAUUUAUCGGCGAAGGAUCGGCCCGCGUUGGAUUAGGUAGUUGGUGGGGUAAUGGCCUACCAAGCCGACGAUCCAUAGCUGGUUUGAGAGGAUGAUCAGCCACACUGGGACUGAGACACGGCCCAGACUCCUACGGGAGGCAGCAGUGGGGAAUCUUAGACAAUGGGGGAAACCCUGAUCUAGCCAUGCCGCGUGAGCGAUGAAGGCCUGAGGGUUGUAAAGCUCUUUCAGCUGGGAAGAUAAUGACGGUACCAGCAGAAGAAGCCCCGGCUAACUCCGUG
This 433-nucleotide ribosomal RNA is filed under the name uncultured bacterium. RNAcentral describes it as "partial 16S ribosomal RNA". It matches the Rfam family "Bacterial small subunit ribosomal RNA", at positions 29 to 507 of the family's 1533-position model. The record is from RNAcentral.